GACUGUGAGAGUUGUGAGCUGGGGUAAGCUUGGUGCUACCUCUUUUCUUUUGUUUGUUAUUUUCUUUGAAUAAGAAGAUUGAAAGUUUUUGAAUAUUGUGAAGUGAAUUAUGGAAUGGAAAUGUGAUUGGUAUUAUUUGAGAAGAAGAAAGAUUGAAUGCUGAAAUCUGAUUAUAGUUCAGCAGAGAGAAUGGGUCUGUAUUUGUGUGAAAUACUGUAAUGUGAAUGGCAGUUUUGUGUGAAGAAUUCCAGAGAUUGGAACGAGGGUAAUUGUGUGCUGAAAGCUAUGAAGGUGAAGUAUUACAGUUGGAGAUUAUGAGGGUGAAUAUAUUGGUAGAAAUAGCAAUUAUUGGUAUAACUGAAUUGCUGUAAGGAAGAGACCGAUAAGGUGAAGGAGGAGAUUAUAGU
RNAcentral lists this long non-coding RNA (407 nucleotides) under Physcomitrium patens. RNAcentral's name for it is "long non-coding RNA (PPAT_LNC006914)". The record is from RNAcentral. Lineage: Eukaryota; Viridiplantae; Streptophyta; Bryopsida; Funariales; Funariaceae.